UGGGUAACCUGCCUCAAAGAGGGGAAUAGCCUCCCGAAAGGGAGAUUAAUACCGCAUAAUAUGUUUAAGUCGCAUGACUUUAACAUCAAAGGAUUUUCUUUUAGAACUUCCACUUUGAGAUGGACCCGCGGCGCAUUAGCUAGUUGGUGAGGUAACGGCUCACCAAGGCGACGAUCGUUAGCUGGUCUGAGAGGACGAUCAGCCACACUGGGACUGAGACACGGCCCAGACCUCGUACCGGGGAGG
This 246-nucleotide ribosomal RNA is filed under the name uncultured bacterium. RNAcentral's name for it is "partial 16S ribosomal RNA". It matches the Rfam family "Bacterial small subunit ribosomal RNA", at positions 118 to 347 of the family's 1533-position model. The record is from RNAcentral.